ACGACCACACCUGCGAGAAAAUACGGGAUCCCGUCCGCUCUCCCAUCGUCAAGCUCGCAAGGGGUGGAUUAGUAGUUGGGUCGGUGACGACCAGCGAAUACCCGCUGUUGUAUGUU
This 116-nucleotide ribosomal RNA is filed under the name Fusarium graminearum PH-1. RNAcentral also lists the same sequence under 1 other name. The record is from RNAcentral. Lineage: Eukaryota; Fungi; Ascomycota; Sordariomycetes; Hypocreales; Nectriaceae.